UAUAUGGCUGCAUGACUAAGUCGCUUUGGAUAAAAGUGUCUGCUAAAUGGCAUAUA
Non-coding RNA from Salmo salar (Atlantic salmon), 56 nucleotides. Lineage: Eukaryota; Metazoa; Chordata; Actinopteri; Salmoniformes; Salmonidae. The record is from Rfam.